UACGGAGGGUGCGAGCGUUAAUCGAAAUUACUGGGCGUAAAGGGUGUGUAGGUGGCUAUGUAAGUUACUUGUGAAAGUCCCGGGCUUAACCUGGGUUGGACGGGUGAUACUGUGUAGCUAGAGUAUAGGAGAGGGUAGAGGAAUUCCAGGUGUAGCGGUGAAAUGCGUAGAUAUCUGGAGGAACACCGGUGGCGAAGGCGGCAUCCUGGACCGGUAUUGACGCUGAGGCGCGAAAGCCAGGGGAGCAAACGGG
Molecule: ribosomal RNA, 253 nt
Filed under: uncultured bacterium
Lineage: Bacteria
Description: partial 16S ribosomal RNA
Rfam family: Bacterial small subunit ribosomal RNA
Source: RNAcentral